RNAcentral lists this ribosomal RNA (663 nucleotides) under Triticum aestivum (bread wheat). Its description in RNAcentral is "partial small subunit ribosomal RNA". The record is from RNAcentral. Lineage: Eukaryota; Viridiplantae; Streptophyta; Magnoliopsida; Poales; Poaceae.
AUGGGUGUGGUGGGUCAACAGGAGGUGGAGGUGGUGGAGUCGUGCAUGGUGAAGCCGAGCGAUGAGACGCCUAGCCAUGGACUCUGGCUCUCCCAACUCGACCUCAGAAUGGUCAACAGAGGCCACACGCCGAACGUAUACUUCUACAGUCCCGACUCCGGCGACGUCGACAACUUCUUCGACGUGGCCAGGCUGAAGGCGGCGAUGGCCAAGGUUCUUGUGCCCUUCUACCCUCUCGCCGGCCGUCUGGGCGCGGACGGCGACGGCCGGCCAGAGAUCAACUGCGCCUGCCAGGGCGUCCUCUUCGUCGUCGCUCGGUCGAACCUCACCGUCGACGGCUUCGUGGACUUCCGCCGUCGCCGCCUCGCCGGAACUAAGGAGGCUCUUUGUUCCCCGCGUAGAGGACUCGCCGUCCAUCAUGUGCGCCAUCCAGGUGACUUUCAUGGGAUGCGGCGGGGUGGCCUUGGGGACGGCGCUGCACCACGUAGCCAUCGACGCCGUAAGCGCAGUUCACUUCUUCCAGACGUGGUCCGGCUUCUGCAAGGACGGCGACGCGGCGGCGGCGGUGCUGGAGCUCCCAUGCCACGACCGCACCCUUCUCCGCGCGCUCCCCACCCGUCGUCCACCCCGACGCCCUCACCGUGUUCUCCUGUCCGAAGCUGA